RNAcentral lists this ribosomal RNA (647 nucleotides) under Sarcogyne coeruleonigricans. RNAcentral describes it as "SSU rRNA". It matches the Rfam family "Bacterial small subunit ribosomal RNA", at positions 399 to 1112 of the family's 1533-position model. The record is from RNAcentral. Lineage: Eukaryota; Fungi; Ascomycota; Lecanoromycetes; Acarosporales; Acarosporaceae.
GCUAGUUGUAUUAACUAUUAGUUAAUACAAGAUCGACUAUGUCGACUAAAGUUCUAGGUAGAAUAAUGAUGAUGACAAUUUUCUACCUAUAUGUCUUGACCAAAUCUCGUGCCAGCAGUCGCGGUAAUACGUGAAAGACUAGUGUUAUUCAUCUUUAAUAGGUUUAAAGGGUACCUAGACGGUUUAUCUAGCCCAAAACAGGGUACGGAUUUUCUAGAGUUUUAUGUGAGGAGGGGAGUACUCAUAGAGUAGAGAUGAAAUUUUGUGAUACUAUGAGGAAACUGGUGGGGGCGAAAGCAACCUUCUAUGUAUAAACUGACGUUGAGGGACGAAGGCUUGGGUAGCAAAUAGGAUUAGAUACCCUAGUAGUCCAAGCAGACAAUUCUGAAUGCCAUAGAUUAGAUUUUUUUUGGUCUAUAAAUGAAAGUGUAAGCAUUCCACCUUAGGAGUAAUGUGGCAACACAGGAACUGAAAUCAUUAGACCGUUUCUGAAACCAGUAGUGAAGUAUGUUAUUUAAUUUGUUAGUCCUCAAAAAACCUUACCACAACUUGAAUGUUAUUUAAUUAAUACAAGCGUUGCACGGCUGUCUUCAGUUAAUGUCGUGAGAUUUUGGUUAACUCCCUCAAUUAACGUAAACCCUUACUUU